AGAUUCUGAUUCAUCCUCUUGAGAUUUUAAAAUUAAAAUAGGUUGGGUGGGCUUGCAAUUUUACUCAGUUUCAGUGAAUAAGUAAACAAUUGAAUCGGUUCAAUUGCAUGGUGCCAACGAAAUCGAAUGCUAAUUCCCAUUUUAUUGAAUUAACCGAUCGACGUGCUAGCGGACAUUUAUUUUGAAUUCGAUAAUGUUUGCAAAAAUAUUUCGACAUAUUUAUUUAUUUUAUUAUUAUGAGAAUCAAG
RNAcentral lists this long non-coding RNA (248 nucleotides) under Nicotiana benthamiana. Its description in RNAcentral is "long non-coding RNA (NBEN_LNC036238)". The record is from RNAcentral. Lineage: Eukaryota; Viridiplantae; Streptophyta; Magnoliopsida; Solanales; Solanaceae.